RNAcentral lists this ribosomal RNA (506 nucleotides) under uncultured bacterium. RNAcentral describes it as "partial 16S ribosomal RNA". It matches the Rfam family "Bacterial small subunit ribosomal RNA", at positions 29 to 523 of the family's 1533-position model. The record is from RNAcentral.
AGUGAACGCUGGCGGUAGGCCUAACACAUGCAAGUCGAACGGCAGCACAGGAGAGCUUGCUCUCUGGGUGGCGAGUGGCGGACGGGUGAGGAAUACAUCGGAAUCUACUUUUUCGUGGGGGAUAACGUAGGGAAACUUACGCUAAUACCGCAUGCGACCUACGGGUGAAAGCAGGGGACCUUCGGGCCUUGCGCGAUUGAAUGAGCCGAUGUCGGAUUAGCUAGUUGGCGGGGUAAAGGCCCACCAAGGCGACGAUCCGUAGCUGGUCUGAGAGGAGGAUCAGCCACACUGGAACUGAGACACGGUCCAGACUCUUACGGGAGGCAGCAGUGGGGAAUAUUGGACAAUGGGCGCAAGCCUGAUCCAGCCAUACCGCGUGGGUGAAGAAGGCCUUCGGGUUGUAAAGCCCUUUUGUUGGGAAAGAAAUCCAGCUGGCUAAUACCCGGUUGGGAUGACGGUACCCAAAGAAUAAGCACCGGCUAACUUCGUGCCAGCCGCCGCAGUAA